UACGGGGGGGGCAAGCGUUGUUCGGAAUUACUGGGCGUAAAGGGUUUGUAGGUGGCUUGUUAAGUCAGACGUGAAAUCCCUCAGCUUAACUGGGGAACUGCGUCUGAUACUGGUGAGCUUGAGUGCAGGAGAGGAACGCGGAAUUCCAGGUGUAGCGGUGAAAUGCGUAGAUAUCUGGAGGAACACCGGUGGCGAAGGCGGCGUUCUGGACUGCAACUGACACUGAGAAACGAAAGCCAGGGUAGCAAACGGG
This 253-nucleotide ribosomal RNA is filed under the name uncultured bacterium. RNAcentral's name for it is "partial 16S ribosomal RNA". It matches the Rfam family "Bacterial small subunit ribosomal RNA", at positions 524 to 776 of the family's 1533-position model. The record is from RNAcentral.